UUUUCCAAAAGAGAAGGGAGGAGGGCAGCGAAGACCAGCGCCAGACUGAAGAGCAGCAGCAGCAGCGGAGUCAGGCGUGGAAACUGAGCAAAGAGGUGGGAAUCGAAGACUGAAUGCAAAAACUAAGCCAAGGUAUAUUCACAAGGUCCUCUAAGCUGCACUGGUCUACGGGUCGACAAGACGAGAGCUGCAGGCCCGAGACUUAUACCAGGUUCACCCUCAUGCAUACUGUACGGUUAAAGUGACGCAACAAGCCCGCUUAAAUAGUCUACAUCACAAAAGCAAUUUGGUUUUAGUGCAAACACAAUUGGCUGGCUUCAGCUUCUCAAUAAUAACAAGCUCACCGAGGAGAUGACAAGAAGGCACGUACUUAUGCUUCCUCUGAACACGCAACACAUUUAGACAAACCGUGACAUCUUUCAACAACACCACAAAGCGGUGGGAACAGGAAAGCCACAACGUCCGGAUAAAGUGGGCGACGUUCGCUGCCGUGACUGCUCGAGGAUUUACACUUUUUGUCGACUGACGGAGUAAGGACGACGGGCCGAUGAUAACCAACCCCCCCCCCCCCCCGCUGCUGGGCCUGCUGGUAAUGACCUCGAUGGUUUAUGGCGCACUGUCGUGGACACAAAUUUCCUACAAAACCAGUGAUGUGUAUAUCUAAAAGUUGUAUCUGGAAUCGGGUACAUGUCUUAUUGUUUUCCAAGGCGACCCAGUAUGUCUGAGAACCACGACACAGCUGUUUGAAAAUGAAGAUGGACGAUUGUGCGCGGGGUUACGUUUUGGCAUCGUUGUGGUUUUAAAAGUGUGUUGUCGUUCACCGCUGGGGUCACGGGAUGUGGAAAACUCAACAGCGGAGUCUACGGGGAAGUGACUCCUCGCUCUCACACGUCCUUCGUCUCCCGCUUGCGAGGCUCGCGAGGGCGGUUUGAUUUGUCCAAAACAAUCACAGGAGGAAACAACAGUGUUAAUGCCCCUCAAAUCUGGACAGCGAUGCUAGAUAGAUAGGGGUGCUGCUGGGAAAGGAACAGCCGUCAACCACAAUACAAAUAAUCCUAAAUUCAUGUGCAUGUAAAAAGGCAACACACUCCAAUUCUGUACGUUUAACGAACAGAAAAAAAAAAUCCAAACGUUUCAAUAUCAGCAUUUGCUCAUCAUGAAAUCUGCCAAGAUACUGUGUCUCCAAACGUGUUGAGUGAUCUGAAUUAUAUUGCUUUUUGAAAAAAGACCAAAAUAAGUCUAGUGCAAAUCUCUUUUCUGGUUUGAGAAGUGGUGGUUGGCAUAAUGAGACUCAACAGCCGUGGCUACUUGACAGAGUGAGAAGAUACCAGUCGAUUUAGACCUGUUGGGCGGCUGUCGAGCUGUGUCCCUUUUAUCGAUUAACAACGUAGAGGGGAGCGGGGCUCCCGCUCGCGAGAAACGUGCGACAUGACUCUACGCAUUCAAUGACCAACGCAUGCAAAUAGGAAGUAAAAGGUAAUACAUGUUACUUGUGCAGCCCCCCCCCCCCCAUUGAGUGUUGAUUAUUCAACGGCAAGAAUGAGAUGCACGAUUGACCCUUAUUUUCAAUCUGAGAAGGGCGGCCGUGUCAGUCGGCCUAACCCUAUGCAGCCGGGAGGAUGUGCUUCACCUGUCAGGUAAUGUCUGUGCUAAGGAUGUAGACUGUGCAGUUAUAUAUCUGUCAAAUACAACUAGCUCUCCGCUUUGAAAUGUUGGAACACCCACUCCAGUCCAGUGUUUGACAUGUCAAAUUAUAAAACUUCCUUGCACAUACAUUAAAACACCUUACCCCCUAUUUCAAAACAGCAGUCAAUACAUUUCAAAGAAGCUUGUUUCAUAACAAUAAUAAUAAUAAUAAAUGAUAAUAAUAAUAAAAUACAAAUCGACUUGGAGCAUAAAUUAAAAAAAAAAAAAAAGACAAACUGAAAGUACAUUACUGCAGCAUAUAUUUCAGGGUUGCUUGGUUGUGAUGUUAACUACCUUAACUACAACAGCUCCACUUCUGCCAAGUUCAUAUCUGUAUAGGACAAGUAUGUCAGGGUGAUAAUAAAAUAGCAAGCUAAGGGAGGCAACAAGCCUAACAAAAUAUACACAUAUUCAUAAGCACAUCUCAUAGUUCAACCCAAGUGCAUCUUUACAAAAGCAUCUACAUACAAGAUAUGGCAGCAAAAAGCUCAAAAAGUCAGAUGACAAAAACCUACGCCUCGGUACACCAAAGGCCCCUCAUUUCAGUUACGCUUCAGCGUCAACAAAUCCUGGGGUUGUGUUUAAGAAACGCUAUCUUUACUCCAGGUUAUGCAACAUGGCCCAAAUCAAUCAGAUUUCAUAUUUUGAAAGAAACCAGAUGAAAAUUAUACAACAAAUUGUUCGACAUUUCCCCCUUUUACGUCUGCAAAAUGUCCAGAUGAGUUGCCAGUUUGCUUACAUUCUGCUUGCAGAGGAUGUACUGAUGUUAGAAAAAUAUAUCGUCUUGUCAUCACUUUUCACAAAUUAUACUGUAUGGUCACAUUUUUUUUUGGACCACAUAAUGGCAAUAAUGAAAUUCAACUUGCAGUUUGGUUUUAAUUUCCUUUUCCUUCCAAAUCCUAUUACUGUGAUCGAUCGUCAAACAGUGGCUGGCUCUGAUUUGUUUGUUUUUGUUUUUCUCGCUGAAUAGCGGCUCUAAAGACGAGCGCCUCAGCUAAGUUCCCACCGUCAAAUGGUUGAGACUUAAAAGUUGUGUGUUAUUAUUGUUAUUAUUAUUAUUAUUAUUAUUCUCUUUUUUUGGCUUGAUAAACAAACUACAGGUAUGUGCAAACUUCACAUCUUGGUCCAUCUCAAGUAUGAAUUGAUCAAUUUAUUCUAGGUGGUGAUGCACUACUCUGGUGGAUUUACAUUUGCAGGGAUCAGUGAGAUAGAUGAGAACGGUUAAAGAUGAAAAGUUUGAUAACAAACAAUUAGAGUCAAACAAAGACAAACUAAUUGAAGAGAGCCUAUUGUGUCAUGCACAACAUAUCACUCCAUUUGCUAAGAGUACGCAUAGCAAACAUAACCAAUGCUUUGUCAGAGGACCGAUGCAACAUUUACAAUCGUGUACAUGAUUUCCCAUGCGAUAGUUCAUAUCACAGCUACCGUGUCAAAUCAACCUUGUUUUUUUGUUUUUUUUGUUUUUUUGUUGUUGCAUAUCUUAUAAAAAAAAAAGCUAUUUUGGUCUAACAAAUAUGCAUUAACAAAACCACAAAACUACAAACAACCAAUAGUGAGCAAGUGAUAAAACAUAGAUGCAUUUUUUUUUUUAAAAAAAGCACCCAGUUAUAAGAACAAGCAAAACAAACAAGACAAAAAAGAAAAAAAAAAGAAAAAAAAAUUAAGAAUCUUGCCAGAUUAUAGGAAUCCACACCUUGGUAACCAUAUACACUUAGAAAAGAAAUGUUUCCAGGUAAAAGUCAAACACCUAAACCUAACGUAUCUUACCAUUCUUUGGUACGUAUGAAAAACAAACGUGAUCUAAUACAGGUAUUUCCAUUUGUCCUGAUUAGCAUGGCCCCAUGUUACAAACUCAAUCAUCACCGCCGCCGCCGCCACCGCCGCCCUUUUGGAAACACUACAGUGCUAAAUGUUGUGAUGGGAGUCUGCACGCCUACCGUGGCUGACUACACGAUGGCUGAGACAGCAGCCGAGCAUCACGGAUGGGACAGAGAGAUCUAUAGUGCUACGCCCCAGGGGAGACACGGAGAGAGAGAUAGACAGAGAUAGACAGAGAGAGAGAGAGAGAGAGAGCAACAUCCAUCUGAGAAGAGGGAACGACAACAGCAACUGGGGAUGCUGUCUCAAACUGAUCAGCGUAAGCGCGAACUGUUCCUUUCAGCGUGUGAAUUUCAUGACUUUGUGACAAAAGUUUGGGUUUACCGAGUGUAUCGAGGUGAAAGCGUGGCGAAAACCUCGGGGAUCCGAUUCAGAGAUACAGGUUUUAGGGUGUUGUUGGCGGAGCCUACAUGUGUACGGUGGCUGGGGCAGUGUUUCAGACUAUGGGUUCAAAAUACCCAACCGAUCUCUGCAAAAGCGUUCCGAGUGUUGAAACUCGUACUCAAUUUUAAGCUAGUUAAGUGUGGAAAAUGAAUACCAGACUAGGUAUUGGAAUGUUCUGGACGUUACAGGAAUGCAUAUUUUAGGUAUGCUGCACAUUUUAGAAGGAAGCAUAAAGCUGGAGUAGUCCAAAGACUAUCACAACUGAACACAAGUCAGGCUCAAUGUUUAGUCUUUGGUGGCUAAAUCAUAUCCAUCCUCCUCAUCUUUAUGAUAAAAAAAUAAUGUACUGAGUAUGUGUACGCCUCUUACUGAAUGGGCACUGAAAAUAUAGUUUGUGCACCAUCAAAAGCAAAAAAAAAAAAUCCUGUUAGCAAAGCUGUUUAAAAAUGACUGCAUACGUAAUUCAAACUGAUGCGCUAAUCUAGCCUGUCAAUAAAAUAAAGCUCCACUAUUACUCGCUAUGUUCAAAUACUCUGGUUUCUUAGUGGCUCUGAUGUCUGUUUCCGUAUUAAAGUCAACUAAAAAGGCAAAUGCACAUAUGGAGAAAGUACCAUAGUGAAUAUAAAGUAGAUGUUAUAGAUAGCUUAGCGGUGCACUACUCUGGACUAGUGCUUUUUGGGUGUGUUAUGGCAGAAAUGAUAAAAUAUUAUAGAUGGCUUUAACUGUAUGUCACUUUAAAAUAUGAAUAAAUGUCUUUUUUGUAGUAGGAUGACAGGGACUAGCGAUAUCACAUUGCCUAUUUUAAUGCUUUAUCCUAACAUUAAAAUGUAUAUGAAACUAAAUCUGCUUUAAAAUGUUAUUUUACCAUCAGCUGUUAGUCAUAGCUAUUUUCUCCUAUCUAUUUAUUGAAAUACUCUAUAUUACAGAGGAUUUAAAGAGUCAAAAUAAAAGGCAAUCACUAUGUUUUCAGACUUUUUUUCUUUCAUUUAAUCCUGCUAUUCACCUCUCAAGUGAGGCGGGGCUGUUUAAUAUUUGGUGCACCAAAACUAGGGGUUAACUUGCUAAAUUUGCAGUUUUUGGCCCACAUUGCUUCACUGCACCGAAUGACCUUGACAGUUUUUUUUACCCCCUAUCCGCUCAGCCAAAGUCCUGGCUCAUGACACUUGGGUAUCGUUCCAUUUUCAUAUUUAUUUGACACACUAGUCCAAGUUGUACUAACGUCUGUGCCUAUAACAAGACUCGAAUGCCAAAUAAUGAGGCUCGCGCUAUGUUUUAGCGUAUCAGUCAUUAAAAUUUUCUUUUUUUCUUUUUUUUUUUUGGCUCGUAAUGAUGAAUUUUACAACAUCAAUUACAGGUCAUUGUAAUACCCCCCGAGCUCAAGGAAUGCCCCCCCAUGGGAAAAUGUUGGCACUUUUCCCAUUAACGUACCUCACCAACAGGCAUUCCUAAUUCCUACAAGGUUUUAUUUUCACAUUGAUAGGAAGCCAAAAUAUAAGAAAUAUUAGAAAGAUCAUCUGUGGUGCAUUGGCACUGUUCUUAGAGAUUAGAGUUAUGUGAUCUAAGUGGCGUUGCCUAUGACAGACCAUGAGUUAUACAUUGCACAGAAACAUCCGGAAAACAGCGUUUGUCAUCUUACUUCAUGGCAAACACUGAUCUUAAUUCAUAACACCAAGGCAAAUACUUUCAUAAACGUACACUUGUGUCAUUUCAAACUUUUCAGGUCAGAGCCAGAGAUAAAGGAUUCAGUUUUAUCCUGGGCUGGACAUUGCUUGGGUGUAGUUAGUAAGGGGAGAUUGGAGGAGCAGCUUAAGCCUGUUGAAGUGUGGCUCCCUCUAGUGUUCAUUGUGUUAAUUACACGGCCUCGCUCAUUCCUCCUGAUUCCCAUAGAACUUGAACUGAAAAUACAAAUUGCAAUUGUAAUACUGCCAGAGGGGCAAUGACAAGGAGCUUUGUGACACAGAAAAUUCACUAUUUCACUUUAAAAGAUUAAUUCUAGUUCACUUUUACCAUUUCCCAUUGUGAGUGGAUUUUUUUUCCAGUUAAACCUCAAUAGUCUUUUGGGGCCAAAUCAUGCCUAGUAUACGUAAAAGAAUAACAGCACCAGACAGCUGAUAGUGAUUGCAUUUUGAUGUUUUUGAAUCCUCCAUAAUCUAUGGAAUGCAGCAAAAAUAAAAACUGCAGAUGUAACUUUUAUAUGAAUAGAAAGUUUCAGGCUUUUUAAAGGGCUCUGUUACAAUGCUGUCACGGCUUAACUUUGUAUUUAGUAAUAGUUGCAUAAAUAGCAUAUUUUUGAUAGACCAUUGUGUAUAUACUGUAUAUGUGCACUGUAGGAGAGAAAAACUAUGAAUAUACUGUAUACUUAUGAUAUUUACUAAUAGGCACUUGAUAGGCAUAUUCCCUAUAUCCCAAAAGGUAUAUUUUAGCUGCAUUUAUUUCUUCAUCAAACUAUUUGAAAAUGUAUUUCAAUUUGUGUGGAGAUGGUGACUCUUACAUACAUAUUUCUAUAUAUAUAUAUAUAUAUAUAUAUAGCAUAUUUAUAAGAAGUUAGUAGUUAUUUCACUCUGACGUGUACUGUAGUAGGACAGAAGAAAUGCAGUUAACUGUUUAUCUGAACGGUUUUGUGUUGUCUGCAGUUACUCUUCUUUGUGACUUAGUUCAUGCUUAAAUAAAAAUCUGACUUUGAUGCAUCGUGAAAAAGAGAAACGGUAGCUG
Long non-coding RNA from Lampris incognitus (smalleye Pacific opah), 6660 nucleotides. RefSeq lists it as uncharacterized. The record is from RefSeq and is a predicted model, not a curated record. The transcript is spliced from 3 exons. NCBI's taxonomy places the organism in Eukaryota, Metazoa, Chordata, Actinopteri, Lampriformes, Lampridae.